AACCAGGACGUGGAUAUUGAGUGGUAACACAAGCGAAGCUGGGGACGGCGGCGGGAGCCCCGACAAGAGUUUUCUGUUCUUGUUAACAAGUGCACCGACCCUGGAAUCGGAUUGACCGGAGAUAGGGUUGGAGGCUUGGGAAAGGCGGUUAGUUUUGGACCGUUUCGGUGCGCUCUCGACGUUCCGUGAAAACCCAGCGGCGUGACUUAUUCGCACCCCUGGUCGUACUCAUCACCGCAUCAGGUCUCCAAGGUUAGCAGCCUCUAGUCGAUAGAAGAAUGUAGAUAAGGGAAGUCGGCAAACUAGAUCCGUAACCUCGGGAAAAGGAUUGGCUCUGAGGGUUGGGCCUAGGGGUCUCUUGGUUAAUAUUGCGGCUGCUAGACGGGGCUGCGGCUCACGCUGCGGACCUGUCGGGCGGCUCUUUGGCGGCCUCGAGGAUGUCUUCGGACGUUCCCUAGUGCGAUGAACAACCAGCUCAGAACUGGAGCGGACAAGGGGAAUCCGACUGUUUAAUUAAAACCAAGC
RNAcentral lists this ribosomal RNA (525 nucleotides) under Prymnesium parvum. RNAcentral describes it as "partial Eukaryotic large subunit ribosomal RNA". It matches the Rfam family "Eukaryotic large subunit ribosomal RNA", at positions 1622 to 2157 of the family's 3401-position model. Lineage: Eukaryota; Haptophyta; Prymnesiales; Prymnesiaceae. The record is from RNAcentral.